AGAGUUUGAUCAUGGCUCAGAUUGAACGCUGGCGGCAGGCUUAACACAUGCAAGUCGAGCGGGGAAAGGUAGCUUGCUACUUAACCUAGCGGCGGACGGGUGAGUAAUGCUUAGGAAUCUGCCUAUUAGUGGGGGACAACAUCUCGAAAGGGAUGCUAAUACCGCAUACGUCCUACGGGAGAAAGCAGGGGACCUUCGGGCCUUGCGCUAAUAGAUGAGCCUAAGUCGGAUUAGCUAGUUGGUGGGGUAAAGGCCUACCAAGGCGACGAUCUGUAGCGGGUCUGAGAGGAUGAUCCGCCACACUGGGACUGAGACACGGCCCAGACUCCUACGGGAGGCAGCAGUGGGGAAUAUUGGACAAUGGGGGGAACCCUGAUCCAGCCAUGCCGCGUGUGUGAAGAAGGCCUUUUGGUUGUAAAGCACUUUAAGCGAGGAGGAGGCUACCGAGAUUAAUACUCUUGGAUAGUGGACGUUACUCGCAGAAUAAGCACCGGCUAACUCUGUGCCAGCAGCCGCGGUAAUACAGAGGGUGCAAGCGUUAAUCGGAUUUACUGGGCGUAAAGCGCGCGUAGGUGGCCAAUUAAGUCAAAUGUGAAAUCCCCGAGCUUAACUUGGGAAUUGCAUUCGAUACUGGUUGGCUAGAGUAUGGGAGAGGAUGGUAGAAUUCCAGGUGUAGCGGUGAAAUGCGUAGAGAUCUGGAGGAAUACCGAUGGCGAAGGCAGCCAUCUGGCCUAAUAA
Molecule: ribosomal RNA, 738 nt
Filed under: uncultured Acinetobacter sp.
Lineage: Bacteria; Pseudomonadati; Pseudomonadota; Gammaproteobacteria; Moraxellales; Moraxellaceae
Description: bacterial SSU rRNA
Rfam family: Bacterial small subunit ribosomal RNA
Source: RNAcentral